CCUACGGGAGGCAGCAGUGAGGAAUAUUGGUCAAUGGCCGUAAGGCUGAACCAGCCAAGUCGCGUGAAGGAAGCAGGAUCUAUGGUUUGUAAACUUCUUUUAUAGGGGAAUAAAGGUAUCCACGUGUGGAUAUUUGCAUGUACCCUAUGAAUAAGCAUCGGCUAACUCCGUGCCAGCAGCCGCGGUAAUACGGAGGAUGCGAGCGUUAUCCGGAUUUAUUGGGUUUAAAGGGUGCGUAGGUUGUUUUUUAAGUCAGCGGUGAAAGUUUGUGGCUCAACCAUAAAAUUGCCGUUGAAACUGGAAGACGUGAGUGUGUUUGAGGUAGGCGGAAUGCGUGGUGUAGCGGUGAAAUGCAUAGAUAUCACGCAGAACUCCGAUUGCGAAGGCAGCUUACUAAGCCAUAACUGACACUGAAGCACGAAAGCGUGGGGAUCAAACAGGAUUAGAUACCCUAGUAGUC
RNAcentral lists this ribosomal RNA (460 nucleotides) under uncultured bacterium. RNAcentral describes it as "partial 16S ribosomal RNA". It matches the Rfam family "Bacterial small subunit ribosomal RNA", at positions 338 to 795 of the family's 1533-position model. The record is from RNAcentral.